GGGGGUGACUCGGUUUCGACGGGGAUUGGAAGCUAAGGUCGCAUGCCGGAGUGGGCUGGCUCCGUAAAAAAGCCCAACUCAUACAAACGCCGAUACUGACGUUCGUUACGCACUGGCCGCUUAAUUAAGCGACCACGUUUCAUGCUUUGUCGCCCAUGCAGGGCAUGAAACGUUAAUUCAGUGGGCUAGUUUUCGCGGUUGCCUGUGACGCGGAGGCGAAAUCCUAACAGGCUCCCCCGAAGGGAAUCCUGUUCGUGGGAGUUCCGAGGGUUAAGCCAAUACACGAACUAAGCAUGUAGAAGCCUUAUGUGAAAGAUUUUCGGACGCGGGUUCGAUUCCCGCCACCUCCACCA
This is a non-coding RNA of Geothermobacter sp., 353 nucleotides long. It matches the Rfam family "transfer-messenger RNA". From Rfam's summary of the family: Bacterial tmRNA, also known as 10Sa RNA or SsrA, is named for its dual tRNA and mRNA-like properties. The record is from Rfam. NCBI's taxonomy places the organism in Bacteria, Pseudomonadati, Thermodesulfobacteriota, Desulfuromonadia, Desulfuromonadales, Geothermobacteraceae.